Pseudonaja textilis is the source of this 891-nucleotide long non-coding RNA. RefSeq lists it as uncharacterized. The record is from RefSeq and is a predicted model, not a curated record. Lineage: Eukaryota; Metazoa; Chordata; Lepidosauria; Squamata; Elapidae.
UUUUCAGAUAUAUUAGGGCAGUAAUUCUCCAGUCGGUAUGUAGGUGCUGGUUGAGUGCCUGCAGGCUAUAUGGGUCUGGAUGGGUAGGAGCUAGCCUUAGCUCAACCCCAUCAAGACAGAAUGGCCCUGGAUUUUUGACCCCCAGGCCCAGAUGAUAUUUCAUCUCUGACUCUGAAUGAAGUGGCAUUGACUUGGGCACACAAUUUGGAGGACCAUCUAAAACCACCACUUCUGCUCAAGAAGCAGGUGGCAACCAUGUUGGUGGGGGGAGGUUGUCUUUAUACAGAUUCAUCUGGUGUUCCAACUGCAUCUUUUCCUGGACUGUGCGGCCUUGGCUAUUUCUCAUAUGGAUUGCUACAACAUGCUGUACAUGUGGCUACCCAGAAGCUACACCUGGUCUAGAAAAUGAUGGUUCAUGCAGUGAUCGGUGUCCCUAGGUGUACCCAUAUGAGUCCUCUGUUGUUUGAGCUGCAAUGACUCCCAGUUUCCUUCCAGAUGCAAGUCAAGAUGCUGCUUGUUACCUUUAAAAGCGUAUAUAGCACAAGGUCAGGUUAUCUGCAGGACUGCCACUUCCUACCAGAGUAGAUAGGGUGGGCAUGUUCCCAGUCCCUUCCCUUGAAUAUUGCUAUCUUAUGGGUUUAGGAAGUAUGCCUUUUCCGUGGCAGUCUCUACUCUCCUAGCCUUCCCUAAAGUACCUACGACCAACUGCUGGGAUAUGAUGAGAAGUACCUGGUCCAAGAUCUCUUCCUUUUUUUUCCCACAUGAGGGAAACAUAUGCCGCCAUUCUCCACCUGCAGGACACAGCAUAUCCUUGGUGAAGCUGGAGAUCUGUCCGGUCAGUGUCGACAAGCUGCCUCCGACCUGCCCCACCAGGGACUGGCCGAAACCCGC